UACAGAGGUGGCAAGCGUUGUUCGGAAUUACUGGGCGUAAAGGGCGCGUAGGCGGCCAUCUAAGUCAGACGUGAAAUCCCCCGGCUUAACCUGGGAACUGCGUCUGAUACUGGACGGCUGGAGUUUGGGAGAGGGAUGUAGAAUUCCAGGUGUAGCGGUGAAAUGCGUAGAUAUCUGGAGGAACACCGGUGGCGAAGGCGGCAUCCUGGACCAACACUGACGCUGAGGAGCGAAAGCCAGGGGAGCAAACGGG
This 253-nucleotide ribosomal RNA is filed under the name uncultured bacterium. Its description in RNAcentral is "partial 16S ribosomal RNA". It matches the Rfam family "Bacterial small subunit ribosomal RNA", at positions 524 to 776 of the family's 1533-position model. The record is from RNAcentral.